Molecule: ribosomal RNA, 775 nt
Filed under: uncultured Neocallimastigales
Lineage: Eukaryota; Fungi; Neocallimastigomycota; Neocallimastigomycetes; Neocallimastigales
Description: partial large subunit ribosomal RNA
Rfam family: Eukaryotic large subunit ribosomal RNA
Source: RNAcentral
CGUCUAUAUACGUAUAGCAUAUCAAUAAGCGGAGGAAAAGAAACUAACUAGGAUUCCCUCAGUAACGGCGAGUGAAGCGGGAAGAGCUCAAAUUUGAAAUCUUCAAGGUUUCUACCUUGACGAAUUGUAGUUUAAAGAAGUGUUUUCUGUUGGAGUUUUGGUAAAAGUUCUUUGGAAUAGGACAUCAUAGAGGGUGAGAAUCCCGUAUUUGACCAUUAUUUCCAACUUUGUGAUACACUUUCAAAGAGUCGGAUUGUUUGGGAAUGCAGUCCAAAAUGGGUGGUAAAUUUCAUCUAAAGCUAAAUACUGGCGAGAGACCGAUAGCGAACAAGUACCGUGAGGGAAAGAUGAAAAGAACUUUGAAAAGAGAGUUAAACAGUACGUGAAAUUGUCAAAAGGGAAGCGUUUGACACCAGUGUUGUUUUCUCGAAAAUCAAUUAAAAAUGGUGGGAUUUUGUGUUGUAUUGACUUUAUCAGCUUUCUGCACUUUUUUCCUAUCUUUUUUAAUGCACUUUUCGUUUAACAAGUCAACAUCAAUUUCUUUUGUUGUAAAAGGGUCAUUGGAAGGUGGCUUUCUUUUCGGAGAAAGUGUUUAUAGCCUUUGGACUUCUGCAAUCGGAGAGAUUGAGGUCUGCAGCGUAGAUCCUUCGGGGUUAGAUGCAUUUGUGCUAAGUUAUAGCCUUUCAUAGACAACUUGUUGACUAUGAUCAGUCAUGUAGCUUACUCGCUUAUGCUAUUUUACCUACGCUUAGGAUGUUGACGAUCAGCUAGCGCG